UACGGGGGGGGCGAGCGUUGUUCGGAAUUACUGGGCGUAAAGGGCGCGUAGGCGGUUCGCUAAGUUGGAUGUGAAAACUCUGGGCUCAACCCAGAGCCUGCAUCCAAAACUGGCGGGCUAGAGUAUGGGAGAGGGAAGUGGAAUUUCCGGUGUAGCGGUGAAAUGCGUAGAUAUCGGAAGGAACAUCAGUGGCGAAGGCGACUUCCUGGACCAAUACUGACGCUCAGGUGCGAAAGCGUGGGGAGCAAACAGG
This 253-nucleotide ribosomal RNA is filed under the name uncultured bacterium. RNAcentral describes it as "partial 16S ribosomal RNA". It matches the Rfam family "Bacterial small subunit ribosomal RNA", at positions 524 to 776 of the family's 1533-position model. The record is from RNAcentral.